RNAcentral lists this transfer RNA (63 nucleotides) under Diachasmimorpha longicaudata. RNAcentral's name for it is "tRNA-Phe". The record is from RNAcentral. Lineage: Eukaryota; Metazoa; Arthropoda; Insecta; Hymenoptera; Braconidae.
AUUUAAAUAGCUUAAAAAAAGUUUAAUAAUGAAAAUAUUAAGAUGAUUCCAUAUCUUUAAAUA